CCUACGGGUGGCAGCAGUCGAGAAUCAUUCACAAUGGGGGAAACCCUGAUGGUGCGACGCAGCGUGGGGGAAGGAGUAUUUCGGUAUGUAAAGCCCUAUCAGCAGGGAAGAACAAUGACGGUACCUGACUAAGAAGCACCGGCUAAAUACGUGCCAGCAGCCGCGGUAAUACGUAUGGUGCAAGCGUUAUCCGGAUGUACUGGGGGUAAAGGGAGCGCAGGCGGCGCGUUAAGCCUGGUGUGAAAGCCCGCGGCCCAACCGCGGGACUGCAUUGGGAACUGGCGCGCUGGAGUGCCGGAGGGGUAGGCGGAAUUCCUGGUGUAGCGGUGAAAUGCGUAGAUAUUAGGAGGAACCCCAGUGGCGAAGGCGGCCUACUGGACGGUGACUGACGCUGAGGCUCGAAAGCGUGGGGAGCAAACAGGAUUAGAUACCCCAGUAGUC
This 441-nucleotide ribosomal RNA is filed under the name uncultured bacterium. Its description in RNAcentral is "partial 16S ribosomal RNA". It matches the Rfam family "Bacterial small subunit ribosomal RNA", at positions 338 to 795 of the family's 1533-position model. The record is from RNAcentral.